Molecule: ribosomal RNA, 1530 nt
Filed under: Escherichia coli
Lineage: Bacteria; Pseudomonadati; Pseudomonadota; Gammaproteobacteria; Enterobacterales; Enterobacteriaceae
Description: bacterial SSU rRNA
Rfam family: Bacterial small subunit ribosomal RNA
Source: RNAcentral
AGAGUUUGAUCAUGGCUCAGAUUGAACGCUGGCGGCAGGCCUAACACAUGCAAGUCGAACGGUAACAGGAAACAGCUUGCUGUUUCGCUGACGAGUGGCGGACGGGUGAGUAAUGUCUGGGAAACUGCCUGAUGGAGGGGGAUAACUACUGGAAACGGUAGCUAAUACCGCAUAACGUCGCAAGACCAAAGAGGGGGACCUUCGGGCCUCUUGCCAUCGGAUGUGCCCAGAUGGGAUUAGCUAGUAGGUGGGGUAACGGCUCACCUAGGCGACGAUCCCUAGCUGGUCUGAGAGGAUGACCAGCCACACUGGAACUGAGACACGGUCCAGACUCCUACGGGAGGCAGCAGUGGGGAAUAUUGCACAAUGGGCGCAAGCCUGAUGCAGCCAUGCCGCGUGUAUGAAGAAGGCCUUCGGGUUGUAAAGUACUUUCAGCGGGGAGGAAGGGAGUAAAGUUAAUACCUUUGCUCAUUGACGUUACCCGCAGAAGAAGCACCGGCUAACUCCGUGCCAGCAGCCGCGGUAAUACGGAGGGUGCAAGCGUUAAUCGGAAUUACUGGGCGUAAAGCGCACGCAGGCGGUUUGUUAAGUCAGAUGUGAAAUCCCCGGGCUCAACCUGGGAACUGCAUCUGAUACUGGCAAGCUUGAGUCUCGUAGAGGGGGGUGGAAUUCCAGGUGUAGCGGUGAAAUGCGUAGAGAUCUGGAGGAAUACCGGUGGCGAAGGCGGCCCCCUGGACGAAGACUGACGCUCAGGUGCGAAAGCGAGGGGAGCAAACAGGAUUAGAUACCCUGGUAGUCCACGCCGUAAACGAUGUCGACUUGGAGGUUGUGCCCUUGAGGCGUGGCUUCCGGAGCUAACGCGUUAAGUCGACCGCCUGGGGAGUACGGCCGCAAGGUUAAAACUCAAAUGAAUUGACGGGGGCCCGCACAAGCGGUGGAGCAUGUGGUUUAAUUCGAUGCAACGCGAAGAACCUUACCUGGUCUUGACAUCCACAGAACUUUCCAGAGAUGGAUUGGUGCCUUCGGGAACUGUGAGACAGGUGCUGCAUGGCUGUCGUCAGCUCGUGUUGUGAAAUGUUGGGUUAAGUCCCGCAACGAGCGCAACCCUUAUCCUUUGUUGCCAGCGGUCCGGCCGGGAACUCAAAGGAGACUGCCAGUGAUAAACUGGAGGAAGGUGGGGAUGACGUCAAGUCAUCAUGGCCCUUACGACCAGGGCUACACACGUGCUACAAUGGCGCAUACAAAGAGAAGCGACCUCGCGAGAGCAAGCGGACCUCAUAAAGUGCGUCGUAGUCCGGAUUGGAGUCUGCAACUCGACUCCAUGAAGUCGGAAUCGCUAGUAAUCGUGGAUCAGAAUGCCACGGUGAAUACGUUCCCGGGCCUUGUACACACCGCCCGUCACACCAUGGGAGUGGGUUGCAAAAGAAGUAGGUAGCUUAACCUUCGGGAGGGCGCUUACCACUUUGUGAUUCAUGACUGGGGUGAAGUCGUAACAAGGUAACCGUAGGGGAACCUGCGGUUGGAUCACCU